RNAcentral lists this ribosomal RNA (285 nucleotides) under uncultured soil bacterium. RNAcentral's name for it is "partial 16S ribosomal RNA". It matches the Rfam family "Bacterial small subunit ribosomal RNA", at positions 26 to 337 of the family's 1533-position model. The record is from RNAcentral.
AGAACGAACGCUGGCGGCAUGCCUAAUACAUGCAAGUCGAACGAACACUUCGGUGUUAGUGGCGCACGGGUGCGUAACGCGUGGGAAUCUGCCCUUGGGUUCGGAAUAACAGUUGGAAACGACUGCUAAUACCGGAUGAUAUCGAAAGAUCAAAGAUUUAUCGCCCAGGGAUGAGCCCGCGUAGGAUUAGCUAGUUGGUGAGGUAAGGCUCACCAAGGCGACGAUCCUUAGCUGGUCUGAGAGGAUAGAUCAGCCACACGUGGGACUGACGACACGGCCCAGCCU